This 833-nucleotide long non-coding RNA is filed under the name Elaeis guineensis (African oil palm). Its description in RNAcentral is "long non-coding RNA (EGUI_LNC031898)". Lineage: Eukaryota; Viridiplantae; Streptophyta; Magnoliopsida; Arecales; Arecaceae. The record is from RNAcentral.
AAAUAUUUCUUGAGAAACUCUCCUUGCAGCUGGUCCCAAGUUGAUAUAGUCAUGGAAUCCAAAGUAUGUAGCCAGUAUUUGGCUUUGCCCUUAAGUGAGAAAGAAAAUAAUUUUAACCUAAGAGCAUCAUCGGAGAAGUUGUGAAUUUUGACAGUUGAGCAUAUCUCAAAAAAUUCUUCAAGAUGUUUAUAAGGGUCCUCGUUACUAAGUCCAUAAAAUGAAGGUAACAUUUGGAUUAUACUGGACUUAAUUUCAUAUUGAGUGGCCUCCACAGGGGGCACUUGAAUACAAGGAGAGUAGGUAUAUGUGGAAGGAGUAAAGUACUCCUUCAAUUACUUGGGUGAAUCAUUCUCCUGAUUUCGGUCCAUAUUUUUACAUCUAUUGACUCUCAAGGUUCUUUCUAUUUCUGGAUCAAAAGGUUGGAUUUCUGGUCAUAACGAUCUACGGCCAAGCAUACACCUUACAAUUAUACUUUAGAGCAAACACAAAAAAUUUGAGUUUUUAUAAUAUAUAUAUUUUUAUAAUAAAGUGAGAAAAGAAUGAAGAAAAUCUAAAGAGAAGAACCUAAGAAUCUUAAAUCUAUGAAAAGGGAGAAAUUAGUUAAUGUUUAGAUGUUAAUUGCAAUCAACUUAAACAAUCAUAGACUCUCUAUCCUAAGGUUAACUUAGAUCUAGACAGCUCCUAACUUCCAAGACCGUCUUUGAGCACUCCAAGCUCAAGACUGACUAACUGACUCGGCCAGGUAAGCGUAAGAUGUGGGAGGUUCCCUGCUCGUUGCUUUUCUUAGACACCAACUGAGUUGGCCAGGUCAGUCAACGGAACCAAUUGAAAAC